RNAcentral lists this ribosomal RNA (497 nucleotides) under uncultured bacterium. Its description in RNAcentral is "partial 16S ribosomal RNA". It matches the Rfam family "Bacterial small subunit ribosomal RNA", at positions 28 to 507 of the family's 1533-position model. The record is from RNAcentral.
GACGAACGCUGGCGGCGUGCCUAAUACAUGCAAGUUGAGCGAUGAAGAUUGGUGCUUGCACCAAUUUGCAGAGCAGCGAACGGGUGAGUAACGCGUGGGGAAUCUGCCUUUGAGCGGGGGACAACAUUUGGAAACGAAUGCUAAUACCGCAUAACAACUUUAAACAUAAGUUUUAAGUUUGAAAGAUGCAAUUGCAUCACUCAAAGAUGAUCCCGCGUUGUAUUAGCUAGUUGGUGAGGUAAAGGCUCACCAAGGCGAUGAUACAUAGCCGACCUGAGAGGGUGAUCGGCCACAUUGGGACUGAGACACGGCCCAAACGCCUACGGGAGGCAGCAGUAGGGAAUCUUCGGCAAUGGACGAAAGUCUGACCGAGCAACGCCGCGUGAGUGAAGAAGGGUGUCGGAUCGUAAAACUCUGUUGGUAGAGAAGAACGUUGGUGAGAGUGGAAAGCUCAUCAAGUGACGGUAACUACCCAGAAAGGGACGGCUAACUACGUG